CAUCCUCCUGCUCCCCCCACUGCCGCCGCCAUCGCUCCUGUACAGCACGGACGCGCCCAGCGAGCCGGGAUCGCGUUUGAAGCGACAUUCACGUCCAAGCCCCGAACUAAAUGGAGGCCGGCAAGCGGGCGGGCUGAGAGCUGAAACCAGCACCUCUGCGCCCGUUCAACGCCAUUCUGGCAUUGGCGCGGCACGGCACGUUAGCAGCGCCGGCCCCCCUGCGGACGCCGCGUGGGCCCGUUCCUGCGCGCAAUACUGCAAGCCUCAUACAUGGCCAACAGUCGACGCAACGCUACGCAAGUGACUCGCAGCUUCUUUUCUCAUUAAGCUGCUUUGCAACAUCCCGCGAGCAAAAAAGUCACAGGUCUUACGCUAGCAAAGUAUUUGUGUCGCGCCCAGGGCCCCUGGCCGCGCCCUAGCGAAACCCUACCCGGCCUGGUGCCAACGGGGCCUGAGGGCGAGCGCCGAGGGGGGCCAGCCAUACAUCCCAUUCAUGUACCUGGUACAGCUAUGUCGCAGGUUCAAAGCGCCCUUACCAGCGCCCUGCCCUUACCUUCUGCUCGGUUACGCUCUCGUCCUCUCUUACGCAUCAACCCUGGUCAUCACAACCUGCCGUAGCACAGCUGCACAGCCCGCAGCGUACAAGGCACGUCUUGUAUCGUUGCAACGCAUGCGCACUGACACAGCUGGGCUAUGAAGCGCUGGUGCGCAUGAAAUCACGUCUAACAAGUCUGCCGAUGCACAUUGUCCAUUCGUCACGCGGCAGAGAGUUGAGCGCGGUGUGGGCUGGGUCGAGGGGAUUUCCAUGGAUAGGAUCCCGUGACCGAAGUAUCAGAACAGGACCGCUGAUGGCACGGAGUGAUAGUGCUCGUCAAAAGGAGUCGAUUGACACCACUUCGGUAUUAAAUGGAGGGGUUUUACCCCCCUAAACAACGUGAAACAACAAGGUUGUGUCCGUGAGGGGGUCGGUCGUCCCCUCAAUGGGGCCCUGGGGGAUUUCGGGGCAUGGGGUUUGGCACUCUGUUUCCUAACCCCCCGUGGCUACGGUAACCUUUUUGUCUCCACGGGGGAUUGCGGGAGACCGGGAGUGCUGGGUCCUAGGC
RNAcentral lists this long non-coding RNA (1103 nucleotides) under Chlamydomonas reinhardtii. RNAcentral describes it as "long non-coding RNA (CREI_LNC000310)". Lineage: Eukaryota; Viridiplantae; Chlorophyta; Chlorophyceae; Chlamydomonadales; Chlamydomonadaceae. The record is from RNAcentral.